This 433-nucleotide ribosomal RNA is filed under the name uncultured bacterium. RNAcentral describes it as "partial 16S ribosomal RNA". It matches the Rfam family "Bacterial small subunit ribosomal RNA", at positions 29 to 507 of the family's 1533-position model. The record is from RNAcentral.
AACGAACGCUGGCGGCAUGCCUAACACAUGCAAGUCGAACGAGACCUUCGGGUCUAGUGGCGCACGGGUGCGUAACGCAUGGGAACCUGCCCUUAGGUUCGGAAUAACUCCCCGAAAGGGGUGCUAAUACCGGAUAAUGUCUUCGGACCAAAGAUUUAUCGCCUUUGGAUGGGCCCGCGUUGGAUUAGCUAGUUGGUAGGGUAAAAGCCUACCAAGGCGACGAUCCAUAGCUGGUCUGAGAGGAUGAUCAGCCACACUGGGACUGAGACACGGCCCAGACUCCUACGGGAGGAAGCAGUGGGGAAUAUUGGACAAUGGGCGAAAGCCUGAUCCAGCAAUGCCGCGUGAGUGAUGAAGGCCUUAGGGUUGUAAAGCUCUUUUAACCGGGAUGAUAAUGACAGUACCGGGAGAAUAAGCUCCGGCUAACUCCGUG